Molecule: ribosomal RNA, 245 nt
Filed under: uncultured bacterium
Lineage: Bacteria
Description: partial 16S ribosomal RNA
Rfam family: Bacterial small subunit ribosomal RNA
Source: RNAcentral
UACGUAUGGGGCGAGCGUUGUUCGGAAUCAUUGGGCGUAAAGGGCGCGUAGGCGGUUCAGGAAGCCCGGUGUGAAAGGCUACGGCUUAACCGUAGUUUUGCGCUGGGAACUGUUGGACUGGAGUUUAGGAGGGGAAGCUGGAAUUCCUGGUGUAGGGGUGAAAUCUGUAGAUAUCAGGAAGAACACCGGAGGCGAAGGCGAGCUUCUAUCCAUAGACUGACGCUGAGGCGCGAAAGCGUGGGGAG